Molecule: long non-coding RNA, 2023 nt
Organism: Cavia porcellus (domestic guinea pig)
Lineage: Eukaryota; Metazoa; Chordata; Mammalia; Rodentia; Caviidae
Exons: 6
Source: RefSeq, a predicted model, not a curated record
AAAGCCGCGCGGCGCGUUUGCAACAUUCUGUAACUUUCCCGGGAGGGCGGUUCCUCUGCCUCUCUGCAGCAAGAUGGGGACAGGAGCCCGCGACCCUGAGGAUUGCCACUGCUUGCAAACAGGCUGCAGUGUUGCUGUGAACAUGGGAGCGCAGAUGGUUUCACUCCUGGUUUCUGUUGUUUUGCAGAAGUACCCAGAAAGGUGUUUCAUUCCUUGACUUAAAGAAACUGAACAGUAGAAGAAAGAACACUGGGUGGCAGAUGGGGCCACAAUGAAGUACAGGAGGAGGUGUCCCUGCGAAGUCAGCAUCAGCCCCAGAUCACCCUACGAGCCGCUCUUGACAUACAUACUGAAUCGGAAUAGUCCUUGUGAUCUCUGAAAUUUUGAGUUCUCUCCAAAUUGAAGCGGGAGGCAGCAGUUAUCAGGAACAACGAGUUAAGAGAAAUACGUACUAAAUCAGACAGCCAGUAUUUGGGGUCAGUAAUAUGUUUCUAAGAUGCUCACAAGAUUUGGAAACCAGCGAGCAAAUCGGCUGAAAUCAAGCAAUGCCAAUCGGCGAGAGAACACCAUGAGGCCCCUGCUAAAGCAAAGUGGCCAUUCUUUCUGACCUCGCAGCCAUCCACGAUCACAGAAGCUUGUUUUACGCAUUUGGCUUCAGAUUAAAAUUUGAACUACACUGAAAUUAGAUAUUUGGGUGUCUGGGACUAGCUAAUUAGUCCUAUCCAACUGGUAAGCUCAACCAAAUACAGUGGAGCCAGGAUGGGAACGCCUCUGGUGCAAAACGCAAUAGGAAGCACAAGAUCCACUUCCCAGGCUGGAGAGGGCGGGGCCCUUCAGACCCACCCUGAGUGGGCGGUGACCACAGGCGGCUCCCUGCCUCUGUGACGUCACGGAAGCCCCGCCCACAGCUGUCAGCCACUGCCCAUACCAAGCUGCAUGCUGGCCCUGGGAAGUUGCCCCUUCCUGGGGUCAUGAUGGGCAGCAAAAUGGCGUCUGCCACCGGAUUAUCCAGAAUUAAAACAUGCUUCAGAAAGUAAUCUUCUAAAACUACAAACUGAGAAUAAAAAACCUGAGAAAGGAGCUGGACAGUAUGGAAAAUUCCAACAAAAUAAAGAUCAUACAACAAAGCCUACACACAGAGAUGGAGCUUGCUGCAGUUACUCAACAUGUGGUCUAGUAUAGAACAUCAUUUUGGGGUGUAAAGUCAACUGGGCAGCAGAGCCAGCACUCAGGGAAACUGUUCUGCAGCUUGAAAAGGCUCUCACCGCAAUCUAACAAGAAUUCCACUGGACCCGGUGCUGCCAUGUGUGCCUUUGAUCUCAGCACUCAGGAGGCUGAAACAAGAGGAUUGCCACUUGCUGAAGACCAGCAAAGAUUUGCACCUUGCAGUUUUUGGAUCUGAUAUGUCAUUUAAAUAGCAAAUUUCAAGUGAAAUGAAUUUGUGAUGUUUGGGGAACGCUCCUAAUCUGUAAUCGCUUUUUAGCUUCAGUUAACACUCUAACAUAGAAUCAGUCAUUUUAAAUAACACUAAAGUGACUGUGUACUCUUAAAAGGGGAAUGUCUUAGUCAUAGAAAAGCUACCUGGUCUGAUAUCUGAGGAGCAGGCGCAGUUUUGGACAUUCACAAAGUCCCAGCAUUUAAUUGUAAUACUUGUGUGCAUUUCUGCAUUUGUCAGUGAGGAUGCAGACAAGUCUCCAGAGUGUCAGCAGCUGGUAAAAUUCAUAGUGGGGUUAUGAGUAACUGUCUUCUGUUCUCUCUGUGUCUGUUUCUCCCCUCACACAUACUUCUGCACACGCACAUACAUAAUGCUGGCUACACCCUGGCAAUGCUGAUGUACAGUGACAUCCAUGCCCAUUUUCAGUUCUGUUUGGAGACAAGGUCUUGCCAACUUACCAAGGCUGGCUUCAGACUUGGAACCCUCCUGAACAACUGGGAUUACAAGCAUGUACUGCCAUGUCCAGUACAAAGCUCUUUAUUAAUUAGAAGCUAUUGAGCAUAUUUAUGGACAGUGUGAUGUUUUCAG